GAUGAACGCUGGCGGCGUGCCUAAUACAUGCAAGUCGAGUGAACGGACGAGAAGCUUGCUUCUCUGAUGUUAGCGGCGGACGGGUGAGUAACACGUGGAUAACCUACCUAUAAGACUGGGAUAACUUCGGGAAACCGGAGCUAAUACCGGAUGAUAUUUUGAACCGCAUGGUUCAAAAGUGAAAGACGGUCUUGCUGUCACUUAUAGAUGGAUCCGCGCUGCAUUAGCUAGUUGGUAAGGUAACGGCUUACCAAGGCAACGAUGCAUAGCCGACCUGAGAGGGUGAUCGGCCACACUGGAACUGAGACACGGUCCAGACUCCUACGGGAGGCAGCAGUAGGGAAUCUUCCGCAAAGGGCGAAAGCCUGACGGAGCAACGCCGCGUGAGUGAUGAAGGUCUUCGGAUCGUAAAACUCUGUUAUUAGGGAAGAACAUAUGUGUAAGUAACUGUGCACAUCUUGACGGUACCUAAUCAGAAAGCCACGGCUAACUACGUG
This 497-nucleotide ribosomal RNA is filed under the name uncultured bacterium. Its description in RNAcentral is "partial 16S ribosomal RNA". It matches the Rfam family "Bacterial small subunit ribosomal RNA", at positions 28 to 507 of the family's 1533-position model. The record is from RNAcentral.